UUCUACAUGGUCAGCAGAUGCUUUUCAGUCCCUUCAGACCGAAUGAGCAAAUCGUUGUGUUUGCACGAGUCUAACUAAUAGAAACAUCACGCUAAUAUUCACCUCAGCUCGACAGCGACCCGCCGUUUCAGCCUCAAUGAGGCCAUUUCACAUUCAGACACUCAGCAUAAUGAAAGGCAAUAUCUAGGAAAUCCAAUUUUAUAUCAAUUGCAGCCUUUAGAUGCAGAAUAAUAAGUAAAAAUCUAAAGGGAAAUUACGAGGCGAGGCUAUUAUAAUGCAGACAACCUCCUAGAAAGACAACUGUUUGUGUUUUUAAAGCAGUGAUAUUUCUCAAUCAGGUUUGAUUUGGUUCGUUGUUCAUGAGUUUUCUAGCAGCUUUUCUAUCAGAAUCUACUUGUAAAGCCUCGCAAGGCCACGUCAACACAAUUUCCUAAACGCAUUCAGAAUGAAAAACAUGCAUAUGAGCAUUCAAGCCGGACAAACCAAUUCAUGAAGUUCUUAAGCUCGUCCUUAAAUCCAGACUGCAGUAAAUCCCAUAUUGCAGCUCAACUGCAAACGUCGGCCUGUGUUUUCUGCUUCGUUCCGCUGCAUUUCCAUCCGCUCAUUCAUGUCUCAUCCAGGCAGUCAAAGGAUCCAUUGAUGGCUCCAUCGCUCCUCUGUGGGCUCCUGCUGCGGGUCGAGUCCCGGCGGGUGUGAAGCUUCAUCCCACAUCUGACCGCUGGACGAAGGAUCAGUCAUUCCUCAGGUGACAGAUCGACGAGUGUUACAGAGGACAGCGGGUCAGAGGUCAUCUGCUCAUGUGAUUUGAAUGACAGGAGUGCUGUGUAUAGAUAAAAGGCUGUACUUAGAGCAGCGCUGUUUAGUGACUGGGAGAAUCAGGCUGUUUAAGGCCAUGUCUGAUGCUAAAACAUGUAGAAAGGAGUGUGGAAAAGAAGUGGCCAUCUAGAUGACAGGCGACUGGUCAGGAACAGCCUAAAGAACUCCCUUAAAGGUGCAGUAAGCGAUUUCUGAGAAAAGUCGAUGAAAGUGGAUCGCACCAAAUCCCACUUGUAGCCAAUCACUAGCAAGGGGUGUGUCCACUUAUGAUGGGGGAGGUGCCUGUGUUGCAUGCAUAGGUGCUGAAAUAACCAAGCACGCACAGAAAACACCAGAACAAAGAAAGUCAUACAAGUUCGUAACGACAUGAAGGAAUGAAACUGAAGUCUGCUGAGUUAUGAAAGAGCAACUUCUGAAGAACCAAAUAUUCCUCUGGAAAACCUCUGAAGCUUCAGACAUGUUUUCCAGGAGGAAAAGUACAUGUCUGUCUAACAAUGACCUGCCGUCCUCCAGCCAGCGAGUUAAUUACCAUCACUGGAAAGACAGCCAGACAACUGUCAACACAUGACUCUGCAGCGUGGAAUUAUGGGAGUGUUGAGCUCUGUUCCAAAACACAAUGAGCUGUCUACCUAGACGACGAUUUUACGCAUCAUAGGCGCCCUAACGACACAAAACCUGGUCCUGCAGCAGGCUCCCCCUCCUUCCAGCCUCCUUCUCUUCACUGUUGGCUUUAUCAAGGUCAUCUCUGCUGCUGCUCCCAUCUGCUCUGCAGCAACAGCGCCUCCGUCUGGACCAACACAGGAUGAAAAGAAGAAAAUGAAAAUCAGCGAAACGGCAGAGCUGGGGAUUCUAGCAGAAACAGGUCUGGAGGGAAAUACUGAAUUAAGUCCUGCAGGAGAAACUAAAGGAGACGAGGAGAAGAAAAAGAAGAAAGACAAAGAUGCAGCUGCAAUCACUUCAGACAGCGAGAAUGAAAAGUAGAAGAAGAAGAUGAAGAAG
Cyprinus carpio carpio is the source of this 1815-nucleotide long non-coding RNA. The record is from Ensembl. NCBI's taxonomy places the organism in Eukaryota, Metazoa, Chordata, Actinopteri, Cypriniformes, Cyprinidae.